Hypanus sabinus (Atlantic stingray) is the source of this 4909-nucleotide long non-coding RNA. RefSeq lists it as uncharacterized. The transcript is spliced from 6 exons. The record is from RefSeq and is a predicted model, not a curated record. Lineage: Eukaryota; Metazoa; Chordata; Chondrichthyes; Myliobatiformes; Dasyatidae.
GUGUCAUCCUGAAGAACCGGUGAGCCAGCACAGUCCGAGUUGUGGCCAUUCUCAGUUAACACUUUCGGGAUCAGCAGCAGUUCUGCAUACUUACUGCAGCUUAACAGAGCACUAAGGGUCUUCAUAGCACCAAGGUAGAGCAUCAUCCCACUGCACCUUGGCUGAAGUGCUCCCUUCCUUGACUACACCUAAAAGAGUAGCAUGUCUUCCUGUUUGCUUGUGAAUGCAUCUGCCUCCAACUCGAAGACCGGUAUCCACGCCACCAAUUACUGCCAGCACGGGCCAUACCUCAGUGCACAGAGUCCUCAGCUGGAUUUCUGGGAAAACUCUAAUUGCCUGGGCGAUGGAAGAGGGACAGUGCUUAAAUAUCAAGACGUGGGAAACAGCCUGCCGCAGUGACAACUAUUGAUGCUUAACUGCUUCGACUUUAUGGUUAAACACAGUACAUGUUCUUGUCAAGAGUGUUUGCAUCCUGAAAAGCAUCAUACUCAAAUACACCACAGCUUAGUACGGCAACCCACGACUCUACAGAGAGUUGAAAACACAGCUCAGCACAUCACCGAAACCAGCCUCCCUUCCACGGACUCAUUCUGUAGCUCUCACUGUCUCAGUAAAGCACCGGGCAUAGUCAAAGGUCCCACCCACUCUGGACAUUCUAUCUUCUCCCCACUCCCACUGGGUGGAAGAUACAAAAAGCUUGAAAGCCCAUAGCAUCAGGCUCAAUGACAGCUUCUAACCCAGUGCUAUAUCCCAGAUUGCUGGAUGCUUCCCUAGUAUGAUAAGGUGUACUCUUGUCCUUACAAUCUACACUCAGUAGUAAUUGGGUAUCUUCUGCACUUAAUAAAGUGGCCAUUGAGUACAUGAUUGUGGUCUUCUGCUUCUGUAGCCCAUCCUCUUCAAGAUUCAACGUGUUGUGCAUUCAGAGAUGUUCUUUGCCACAUAAUUGUUGUAAUGCAAGGUUAUGAGAAUUAAUAUUGCCUUCCUGUCAGCCUGAACCAGUUUGGCCAUUCUCCUCUGACCUCCCUCAUUAACAAGGCAUUUUUGCCCACAGAAUGGCCAUUCACUUAAUGCUCUUUCUUUCUUGUUUCACCCUCUAAACUCUAGACUACCUCUCGACUAUUGCGUAUGAAAUAUCCAAAGAGAUUGGCAGUUUCUAAGAUACUCAAACCACCCUGUCUGGCACCAACAAUAAUUCCACAGUCAAAGUCACUUAAAUCAUAUUUCUUCCCCACUCUUGAUGUCUGGUCUGAAUACUAACUAAACCUUCUUGACCAUGUCUGCAUGCUUUUAUGUACUGAGUUGCUGCCACGUGACAGACUGAUUAGAUAUUGGCACUAACACGGAGGUGUACAGGUUUAUCUAAUGAAGAGGUCACCGAGUGUCUCCUGCUAUGACCUUGUCCCUGUCUAUCUAUCUUACUUUUUCUGUAAGGUAACACUUUAUUCUGCACUCUUAUUGUUUCACCUUGCACUGCCUCAGUGCCCCACUGUGAUGAACUGAUUUCUAUGGACAGUGUACAGCUUCUCCACCAUACCUGGCAAUAUGUGACAAUAAUAAACCAAUUUACCAACUUUUAAAUGUGACCCUCAUCUCAGGCGUUAUGAUCAUUUUGGUUUGAAAAGUUAUAGAUGGGGUUUCAGGGGACAUGGUCAAAUCCAAAUGGGCUUGCAGGCUUUUGUUUUUCUGGCACAAUCUCCUAACUAGUCAGGAAGAUUGUUGAGGCUCCAGGUGAGAUUUUUAAAUCUUCGUUGAUCACACAGUAUCAAGAAAAGAGAUCAGCCUUAUUUGUCACAUAUACAUUGAAACAUUUAGUGGAAUGUGUCAUUUACAUCAAAUCAAAUCAGUGGAUUAUGUUUCUGGCACCACCAUAGCAUGCUCACAACUCACUAACCCUAACCGUACACUUUUGGAAUGUGCGAGGAAACUGGAGCAGCUGGUAGAAGCCCACGUGGUCACAGGGAGAACAUACAAACUCCUGGCAGGCAAGGGCAGGAACUAAGCCCUGAUCAAGUGAUCACAGGUGCUGUAAAGUAAUGCUCUAAACACUAUGCUACCACGUCGCCCUGGAGUAGAGGUUGGUAGUUGUGGUCCCCUUCUUCAAGGAGAGCAACAGGGAAAAGGCUGAUAAUUGCAGACAUGUGAGGCUAAUAUCAGUAGUAAAGAAAUUGUUGGAUAAGAUUCUGAGGGACAGGUGGGAUAAAGGAUCAAAAGCAGGAAUUAAAGAUAGUCAGUAUAGCUUUGACCAAUCUGACUGAAUUGGUUUUUGAGGAGGUAAAUCCCACAUAGGAGAUUGGUGAGGGUUUAUGUGAUCCAAAGCAAGUUGGCAAAAUGGAUCUUAAAAUUGGCACAGCAGUAAGUCAGAAGAUUGUGAUCAGAUGCCUGUGACCAGCGAUGUACAAAGAUCAGUACUAGGACACUUGCUGUUUGUAUAAUUUGGAUGUGGUUCCUUAAGGUUGUCAUAGCUGGGUGGGUCAGUGGGGGGGUGGGGGGGGAGGUAGUGGGGAUAAGCUGCUACCUAUUAAAUGCUCCAAGUGGUGCGUGUCUUAAAUAGCCUCUGACAACCAAGUCCAGCAGCUGGUGUUCAUGUGAAGCUACUAAGCCCAGAAGAACCAUUUCUACUAACAAGAGAAGGGGCAAAGGCAGGUUACUGCCACUUUGAAACGAGUUGGUGUGGGCAGUUGUGUCUCAUCAGCCAUGGUUGGCAGCUCAUCUAAGCGAAGGAAAACUCUGAUCUCAAACUUCCACUGCCUUUUGGCUAUGAGGAGGGCUUCAGGAAUAAAUCCUGAGGUAAAAUCUGGAGCUAGAAUCAAUAAGGCAGCCCCACUGUGAGUUUAAUGAUAACUGGCAACUCUGAUGCUAUUAAUGCCAAACUCUAUUGGUCUCCACCAUUCCUUUGCAUUCAUCAGGAAAAGGGGAGCCUGCUGCAGAGAGAACAGCUUGCUCUCUAUAUCAUAUUGCGCUGGCUUGCCUAUUGGUUGACCCCGACCAACUGAGGCUACAAUUGGAUGUGGAUGUAAGUGGCAUGAUCAGUAAGUAUAGAGAUGACAUGAAGGUUGGUGGAGUUGUUGAUGGAGCGGAAAGUAGUUGGGUUAAGGCUAAUGUUGAUGACUGAUGUGCUGGUGAAAUGGGCAGAUAAAUGAGAGUUGGAGAUUAAUCCUGAUAAGUGACAGGUGACGCAUUUUGGCAGCAUUAAUGAAGAUAGGGCAUAUACCAUGAAAGUCCUGAAGAACAGAGGGAAUUUGGUGUGCAAGACUAAAUAUCCUUGAAGGUGCAGCACAGACAAAUAACGUGGUUAAGGAAGCUUAUAAGAUACUGGUCUUCAUUAGUUAGGACUUUGAACACAAGAGCAGAGAGGCCCUACUCCAACUAUGUGAAACAGUGGAGCACUGUGUGCAGAUCAAAGAAAAUUAAUUUCCAAAGUACGUAUAUAACCCUGUGAUUCAUUUUCUUGCAGGCAAAGUCAAUAAAUCCAAUAACCAUAACAGAAUCAAUGAAAGACCUCACCAACAGAUUGGUCAACCAGGGGCAAAAGGCAACAAACUGUGCAAAUACAAAAAGAAAGAAAAGAAAUAAUAAUAAAAAUAAUAAGCGAUAAGUAGCACGAACACAAGAUGAAGAAUCCUUGAAAGCACGAGGCAUAAACUCGAUUCUCACAGCACCUGCGCGAACGGGAGGUGGGUUGGUGAGUGGCUGGAUCUCCGUUUCCCCUAGACAUAUACUAGUCUUUUGGAUACAGCACAGAACAGGCUUUUCCAGCACUGCCCAGCAAUUCACCUUCUUAACCCGGGCCUAAACACAGGCUAGUUUACAAUGACCAAUUAAUCUACCAACUGGUGCAACUUUGGAAUGUCGGAGGAAAGCAGAGCACCCGGAGGAAAUCCAUGCGGUCACAGGGGGACAGCACUAGAACUGAACUCCAGAACACCCAUGCUGUAACCAUGUCAUGCUAACCACUACACCCCAAAUGGAAUGGAAUCAGGCUACAUAUGCAAACUGUGAAUGGCAUAACUUGAGGGAUUUGGCAGAAUGCAUUAUCAGUCCUCAGCUCAGUGCACCCUGUGCGCAACCCCUGCACUCAACGGUGAAUCCACAGGCUGAACAAGAUGGCAUCUCCCUGACUUCUAAAUUCCAAUGCCAGACCAGCCUGCAAGACGUACUCCACUCGAGGUCCAGCAGGAAACCAAAAGAUGCUGCCUGGCCUGCUGAGUUCCUGCAUUUUGUGUGCGUUGCCUUGGGUUUCUCAGCACCUGUAGAUUCUCUCCUGCUUGAGAAGACACAAAAACCUGGAAGCUCACGCCACCAGGCUCAAGGACAACUUUCACCCCGCUGUUUUAAGACUAUUGAAUGUUUGUCUAGUACAUUAAGAUGGACUGUUGAUCUCACAAUCUAUCUCGUUGUGACCCUGCACUUUACUGUGCAUGUUCUCGGCACUGUAACCCUUUAUUCUGCACUCAGUUACUGUUUUACCUGUACUACCUCAAUGCAUCAUUGCAAAGAGUUGAUCUGUAUGGAUUGUAUGCAAGACAAGUUUUUCCACUUGUAACUUGGUACAUGUUAGAAUAAUAAAUCAAUAAUGAUGCAAGUUUUAAUUAAUAUAGAAUACUUUUAAUAUAGUUGCUUUCUUUAUCCAACCUGAGUUUACAUAACCUUUUGCUGUAAAAAUUUAUAACAUUAGCUUAACCUCUAUGCAAUUUCACUUGGGGGGGGGUUCGAGAACCAAAUCUAUUCAAGGAAGAAAAGUGUUUACAGAGCAGAAAAUGGUUUCUAGACCAGGAAUGCAGAUAUAUAUAAGAUUGGUGUCUAAUGGCAACACCUUUGCUUGCAUCUUUAGAAACAGCUCUAUUUCCAUCUUUAAUAUCUCUAUUUUUCCUGAGAUCUUUGGGCACAGAGCUCGGAAAGAGCGACACAA